This 253-nucleotide ribosomal RNA is filed under the name uncultured bacterium. RNAcentral's name for it is "partial 16S ribosomal RNA". It matches the Rfam family "Bacterial small subunit ribosomal RNA", at positions 524 to 776 of the family's 1533-position model. The record is from RNAcentral.
UACGUAGGGGGCUAGCGUUGUCCGGAUUUAUUGGGCGUAAAGAGCGUGUAGGCGGCCAGGUAGGUCUGCUGUGAAAACUCGAGGCUCAACCUCGAGACGUCGGCGGAAACCAUCUGGCUAGAGUCCGGAAGAGGAGAGUGGAAUUCCUGGUGUAGCGGUGAAAUGCGCAGAUAUCAGGAAGAACACCAGUGGCGAAGGCGGCGCUCUGGGACGGUACUGACGCUGAGACGCGAAAGCGUGGGGAGCGAACAGG